RNAcentral lists this ribosomal RNA (360 nucleotides) under Cryptosporidium parvum. RNAcentral's name for it is "SSU rRNA". It matches the Rfam family "Eukaryotic small subunit ribosomal RNA", at positions 672 to 1036 of the family's 1831-position model. The record is from RNAcentral. Lineage: Eukaryota; Apicomplexa; Conoidasida; Eucoccidiorida; Cryptosporidiidae.
CAAAUUAAUAAAAAAUUUUGAUGAAUAUUUAUAUAAUAUUAACAUAAUUCAUAUUACUAUAUAUUUUAGUAUAUGAAAUUUUACUUUGAGAAAAUUAGAGUGCUUAAAGCAGGCAUAUGCCUUGAAUACUCCAGCAUGGAAUAAUAUUAAAGAUUUUUAUCUUUCUUAUUGGUUCUAAGAUAAGAAUAAUGAUUAAUAGGGACAGUUGGGGGCAUUUGUAUUUAACAGUCAGAGGUGAAAUUCUUAGAUUUGUUAAAGACAAACUAAUGCGAAAGCAUUUGCCAAGGAUGUUUUCAUUAAUCAAGAACGAAAGUUAGGGGAUCGAAGACGAUAAGAUACCGUCGUAGUCUUAACAAUAAU